This is a non-coding RNA of Erythranthe guttata (spotted monkey flower), 1267 nucleotides long. Lineage: Eukaryota; Viridiplantae; Streptophyta; Magnoliopsida; Lamiales; Phrymaceae. The record is from RefSeq and is a predicted model, not a curated record.
AUUUUAAUUUACAUUAAAAAAUAAGAGAAAAGAAAAAAAAAAAAGAGCAAAAAUAACUCUUCAUCUUCCCCGCUCCACCCCACCCUACCGACCACCCAAAUCAACAGUUCUUCUCCCCACGCACCUGCCCCACCACCGGCUCACCUUUCUUGCACCUCGACCUUCGCGUAGUACAAUUCUCCUUCAAUUUCACUCUUCCUAUGGCAGCCCAUAUCUGGAAUUUGAACAAAGACGGCGACGGCGGCGAUUAUGUGCAGGAGAAGAAAAAUCUUACCUUUACACAACUCUCUCUCGCUAAGAAAUGGGUGGUGCCAAACGGCGGCGGUGACUAGGGAGAGAAAUUUCAAGGAGUAGAUGGGUAGCGGUGGUGCGAGACGGGCCAAAAUGCGGCGGUGACGAGGGAGGGAAAUUUGAAGGAGUAGGUGGGUGGCGGUGGUGCGAAACAGGCCAGAGAGCGACGGUGGUGCCCGACGAUCCAGAAGGCGGCGGUGGUGCUAGACGAGCGAGAAGGCGCGGCGAUGCUGAACUUUUUCCGGGCUGGGACGUGGGCAGAGUCGAACGAGGAAGAAGAUCUGAAAAAAUCUUUAAUUUUUGUUUCUUAUUGCAAUUUUGGAAAUUUUAAAAUUUACAAUUUGGUCCUAUAAAUUAUAGUUAUUUAUAAUUUCACCACUCAGAUUUUUUAUUUAUUUAUACAGGGGUAUCUAUGACAUUUCACCCUAGAAAUUGCAUAAAAAUUCGCAGAGCCCGCGAGUGAGAGAUACGAUUUGCGUUAAGGGGUCUAGAUGCAUUGACUUUGGUUACACGAGGGGACGUUGCCAGUGAAGAACUUGGGCAUCGGGGUCUGUCCCAGAAACGACAUCGGAAACAAUAUUCUGAAUAAUACCUCUGAACACAGUGAUCCUACCAGCACCCUGGCACCCAACUGAAUCUGAGAAGCAAGUUUUCCGCCAUUGAGGCAAUCGAUCGAACACCUGAUGGGUCGCGCAUGGAGAAGUAAGGAGAGGUGAGCUGGUUGAGCAACUCACCGGAGGAAUGCAUCUAGUUCGAUCGUCAAUGGUGAACCUGAGGGAUCUUCUGUGUUUGACAUCAUGGGUCACAAGAAACCCGACUAUCUCAGCGCGUGACAAGAACGUGCCUUUACAAGAGAAAGACGAUGGGUCUUUUGGACUCGGGAAACAUAAAGGAAAUUGAAGGCUUAAAAUUUUUACGUCAAUGUUGUAUAGAGCAACUUCCAUUGUUAAUCUUAACAAGGAAUAAAAUUUCGUAA